Molecule: ribosomal RNA, 1380 nt
Filed under: metagenome
Description: bacterial LSU rRNA
Rfam family: Bacterial large subunit ribosomal RNA
Source: RNAcentral
GCGGGGAAGGUCGCCUUCGGGCUUCCAAACUUGUCGAUUCCACGCUGUCGAGAAAAUCCUCUAAGGAGCGUCUCAGGUGACCGUACCGCAAACCGACACAGGUAGAUAAGAAGAGUAUUCUAAGGCGCACGAUUGAGCCCUCUUUUAGGAGCUAGGCAAGUUAGCCCCGUAACUUCGGGAAAAGGGGCGCCUUAUUAGGGUGAAGCCGUACAGGCGGAGCCCGAGGAGGCCGCAGAGAAAUGGCUCUAGCGACUGUUUAAUAAAAACACAGGACUCUGCAAAGACAUAAAAUCGAUGUAUAGGGUCUGACGCCUGCCCGGUGCUGGAAGGUUAAGGGAAGGGGUUAGCCGUAAGGCGAAGCUCUGAACCGAAGCCCCAGUAAACGGCGGCCGUAACAAUAACGGUCCUAAGGUAGCGAAAUUCCUUGUCGGGUAAGUUCCGACCCGCACGAAAGGCGUAACGACUUGAGCGCUGUCUCAAAGAGGGGCUCGGCGGAAUUGUGGUACCGGUGAAGACGCCGGUUACCUGCCGCUGGACGGAAAGACCCCGGCACCUUAACUGCAUCCUAGCAUUGGAUUUCGGUCCAUGAUGCGCAGGAUAGGUGGGAGGCUAUGAAGCAUCGGCUCCGGCCGGUGUGGAGCCAACGGUGAGAUACCACUCUUCCUGGUCUGAGAUUCUAACCUCCGCCCCUGAUCGGGGCGAGGAACAGUGUUAGGUGGGUAGUUUGACUGGGGCGGUCGCCUCCUAAAAUGUAACGGAGGCGCCCAAAGGUUCCCUCAGGUUGUUUGGAAAUCAACCGCGGAGUGCAAAGGCAUAAGGGAGCUUGACUGUGAGGCCGACGGGCCGAACAGGUGGGAAACCAGGGCUUAGUGAUCCGGUGAUCCUGUAUGGAAGGGUCAUCGCUCAACGGAUAAAAGGUACGCCGGGGAUAACAGGCUAAUAGUGUCCAAGAGCUCACAUCGACGACACUGUUUGGCACCUCGAUGUCGGCUCAUCUCAUCCUGGGGCUGAAGCAGGUCCCAAGGGUCCGGCUGUUCGCCGGUUAAAGAGGUACGUGAGCUGGGUUUAGAACGUCGCGAGACAGUUCGGUCCCUAUCCACGGUAGGCGUAGGAGAUUUGAGGGGGGCUGCCCAUAGUACGAAAGGACCUGGGUGGACGAACCUCUAGUGUACCAGUUGUCCCGCCAGGGGCAGCGCUGGGUAGCUACGUUCGGUUGUGAUAACCGCUGAAAGCAUAUAAGCAGGAAGCACGCCCCAAGAUAAGAUCUCCCUCCCGCAAGGGCUGAAGGUCCCUGGUAGACGACCAGGUUGAUAGGCUGGAGGUGUAAGCGCAGAGAUGCGUUCAGCUGACCAGUACUAAUAGACCGUGAGGCUUGACCAU